Molecule: ribosomal RNA, 340 nt
Filed under: Bacillus subtilis
Lineage: Bacteria; Bacillati; Bacillota; Bacilli; Caryophanales; Bacillaceae
Description: bacterial SSU rRNA
Rfam family: Bacterial small subunit ribosomal RNA
Source: RNAcentral
UUUACUGGAGGGAGGUGGGGAUGACGUCAAAUCAUCAUGCCCCUUAUGACCUGGGCUACACACGUGCUACAAUGGACAGAACAAAGGGCAGCGAAACCGCGAGGUUAAGCCAAUCCCACAAAUCUGUUCUCAGUUCGGAUCGCAGUCUGCAACUCGACUGCGUGAAGCUGGAAUCGCUAGUAAUCGCGGAUCAGCAUGCCGCGGUGAAUACGUUCCCGGGCCUUGUACACACCGCCCGUCACACCACGAGAGUUUGUAACACCCGAAGUCGGUGAGGUAACCUUUUAGGAGCCAGCCGCCGAAGGUGGGACAGAUGAUUGGGGUGAAGUCGAACAAGUUC